Molecule: ribosomal RNA, 256 nt
Filed under: uncultured bacterium
Lineage: Bacteria
Description: partial 16S ribosomal RNA
Rfam family: Bacterial small subunit ribosomal RNA
Source: RNAcentral
UAAUACGUAGGGUGCGAGCGUUAAUCGGAAUUACUGGGCGUAAAGCGUGCGCAGGCGGCGCCAUAAGACAGAUGUGAAAUCCCCGGGCUUAACCUGGGAACUGCGUUUGUGACUGUGGUGCUCGAGUGCGGCAGAGGGGGGUGGAAUUCCACGUGUAGCAGUGAAAUGCGUAGAGAUGUGGAGGAACACCGAUGGCGAAGGCAGCCCCCUGGGUCGACACUGACGCUCAUGCACGAAAGCGUGGGGAGCAAACAGG